Non-coding RNA from Drosophila ananassae, 46 nucleotides. Lineage: Eukaryota; Metazoa; Arthropoda; Insecta; Diptera; Drosophilidae. The record is from Rfam.
CCAAACGUCCUUUUCAGGACGACCACACUUUUUCAAAAGAAUAUAA